RNAcentral lists this ribosomal RNA (627 nucleotides) under Clostridioides difficile. RNAcentral describes it as "bacterial LSU rRNA". It matches the Rfam family "Bacterial large subunit ribosomal RNA", at positions 1559 to 2198 of the family's 2925-position model. Lineage: Bacteria; Bacillati; Bacillota; Clostridia; Peptostreptococcales; Peptostreptococcaceae. The record is from RNAcentral.
GGAUGUGAUGGGGAGCGAAAUUUAGUAGCGAAGUAGCUGAUUUCACACUGUCAAGAAAAGUCUCUAUCGAGGUUAAAGGUACCCGUACCGCAAACCGACACAGGUGGGUGAGGAGAGUAUCCUAAGGCCAGCGAGAGAACUGUUGUUAAGGAACUCGGCAAAAUGACCCCGUAACUUAGGGAUAAGGGGUGCCACCAUCAGGUGGCCGCAGAGAAUAGGCCCAAGCGACUGUUUACCAAAAACAUAGGUUUCUGCUAAGUCGCAAGACGAUGUAUAGGAGCUGACGCCUGCCCGGUGCUGGAAGGUUAAGGGGAUCUGUUAGAGCAAUCGAAGCAGUGAACUUAAGCCCCAGUAAACGGCGGCCGUAACUAUAACGGUCCUAAGGUAGCGAAAUUCCUUGUCGGGUAAGUUCCGACCCGAACGAAAGGCGUAACGAUUUGGGCACUGUCUCAACAACAGACUCGGUGAAAUUGUAAUUCCGGUGAAGAUGCCGGAUACCUGCGACAGGACGGAAAGACCCCAUGGAGCUUUACUGUAGCUUGACAUUGGGUCUUGGUACUACAUGUACAGGAUAGGUGGGAGGCUUUGAAACCAGGACGCCAGUUUUGGCGGAGCCAUCCUUGGGAU